GAGCGAUUAGCUCAUUUGGAUAGAGCGACAGCCUCCGGAGCUGUAGGUGGCCGGUUCGAAUCCGGCAUCGCUCA
This 74-nucleotide transfer RNA is filed under the name Spirochaetales bacterium. RNAcentral describes it as "tRNA-Arg". It matches the Rfam family "tRNA". From Rfam's summary of the family: Transfer RNA (tRNA) molecules are approximately 80 nucleotides in length. Their secondary structure includes four short double-helical elements and three loops (D, anti-codon, and T loops). RNAcentral also lists the same sequence under 1 other name. The record is from RNAcentral. Lineage: Bacteria; Pseudomonadati; Spirochaetota; Spirochaetia; Spirochaetales.